GUGGGGAAUAUUGGACAAUGGGGGGAACCCUGAUCCAGCCAUGCCGCGUGUGUGAAGAAGGCCUUUUGGUUGUAAAGCACUUUAAGCGAGGAGGAGGCUACCGAGAUUAAUACUCUUGGAUAGUGGACGUUACUCGCAGAAUAAGCACCGGCUAACUCUGUGCCAGCAGCCGCGGUAAUACAGAGGGUGCAAGCGUUAAUCGGAUUUACUGGGCGUAAAGCGCGCGUAGGUGGCCAAUUAAGUCAAAUGUGAAAUCCCCGAGCUUAACUUGGGAAUUGCAUUCGAUUCUGGUUGGCUAGAGUAUGGGAGAGGAUGGUAGAAUUCCAGGUGUAGCGGUGAAAUGCGUAGAGAUCUGGAGGAAUACCGAUGGCGAAGGCAGCCAUCUGGCCUAAUACUGACACUGAGGUGCGAAAGCAUGGGGAGCAAACAGGAUUAGAAACCCUGGUAGUCC
This 451-nucleotide ribosomal RNA is filed under the name uncultured bacterium. RNAcentral's name for it is "partial 16S ribosomal RNA". It matches the Rfam family "Bacterial small subunit ribosomal RNA", at positions 354 to 796 of the family's 1533-position model. The record is from RNAcentral.